This 252-nucleotide ribosomal RNA is filed under the name uncultured bacterium. Its description in RNAcentral is "partial 16S ribosomal RNA". It matches the Rfam family "Bacterial small subunit ribosomal RNA", at positions 57 to 305 of the family's 1533-position model. The record is from RNAcentral.
GCAAGUCGAACGGUAACAGAGAAGUGCUUGCACUUUUGCUGACGAGUGGCGGACGGGUGAGUAAUGCUUGGGAAUAUGCCUUAUGGUGGGGGACAACAGUUGGAAACGACUGCUAAUACCGCAUAAUCUCUUCGGAGCAAAGCAGGGGACCUUUGGGCCUUGCGCCAUAAGAUGAGCCCAAGUGGGAUUAGCUAGUUGGUAAGGUAAUGGCUUACCAAGGCGACGAUCCCUAGCUGGUCUUAGAGGAUGACC